Molecule: long non-coding RNA, 2486 nt
Organism: Canis lupus familiaris (dog)
Lineage: Eukaryota; Metazoa; Chordata; Mammalia; Carnivora; Canidae
Exons: 4
Source: RefSeq, a predicted model, not a curated record
AAAAGAGAAGAUGAUAAUUGCUCACCUACAACCCACCUAAGAAACCGAUGGAAAUACAUUUAUAAUAAAAUCAGAGCAAUAUCAUUUCCAGUACCUGUAUGACACUCAUUCUGUGUCCCAACAGGAAACAGAUUACACAAAUGAGAACACUUUGAAGAGGGUCUGGAAAAAGGUGUGGGGAAACUGAAAGUACCCAGGAAGUAAGAACAACAGGGCUACUACCACCCCCAGACCUGAAGAGCAGAAGAGGAGCAGUCACCAGAAGGUGGAAGGAGAAUCGUAUGCAGAGGGCCACGUUGACAGGAGCUGUGAUCUGGGUCAAGGGAGAGAGCCAACCUAAGGUUUACCAAUUCCUAACUGUACAAUCAGGAUCAAGUUAACUAAAACUCCCUGAACUUCAGUUUCCUGGUCUUUGAAAUAAGAGUUACUUACAUCAGGACUCCUCAAACUUUCCUACUGGCAAAGGAGAAUGGAUACUCUCCCUGGAGGCUCUGGUGGCAUAGCCUGGAGCAAUUCUAUAAAUCUGUUGUUUUAUCUUCAAAAAGAUUGAGAAUUUUGUAUUCUAAUCCCCAUUUUACCCAUACUUAUGAGUACAUGUUUCCUUCAAGUCUAGAUAGGUCAAUAUUUCCCAUUAAGGAUGCAGUUUGGCACAUCCCUUAGUACACACUAUUCCAGAGCACACAUAGUCCAAUUUGGAGAGGCAGUGAUAAGAAAAGAAGAAAUGAAUUCUACUAGCAAUGUUCAUUGACCUACCCAGAGGACUGAAUAAAAGAGACACCAACAUCUUUGAGGAGCAAAGAACCCUGGGCUUCUAUGAACAUUUCAUCACAGCUUCUGGGCCACCAUAAGUAUGACCCUGAUGUGUUAAAGCAAACUGGUACAGGGAAAGGAAGACCAUGAGAGUAGAUCUAAGCACAGCAAUGAUGGGGUGAAAUAGGGACAGAUUACAUUAACAGUCUGUAUUUUAGAUGGAAUGCUUUCUCCCAAUCUCCAUUCUCAAUACCACUCAUUCUCACCCAAGACUUAGAAAACUCUAGUCUGCAUCAGAAUCACUUGAAGAUCUUGUCAAAUACAGAUUCAUAGGCCCCAUUCCCAGGGUUUCUGGUACAGCAGGCAUGGAAUAAGACCAGAGACUCUGCAUUGGACAGCAUGUUCCCAGUGAUGCUGAUGCCACUGUCCUGUGGUCUACACUUGAAGAAGUGCUGAUUUAAGCCAUUCUUUGUUAACUGCCUCGGGAAAGGAAUACACAAGGGAAAUUUGAGAAGUAACUCUAAGAGCUGAAUUUGAAACCUUAGGGUUUGGAGGAAAUAAAGGGGCCACUUAACAUAGACAAAGAUUUGGAAAAAUACUUGAAGGGACUCGAAGCAAGUCUUCCUUCUCUGGGGGGAAUUGAUUAGAGCUUAAAAGUUGAUGAGGCCCCUGGGAAAAAUGAGCCUGGAUUCUAACACCCCUACCAUGGAGUCUGGGUGUGGAUAUGGGGGGAAAACAGUUGAUGGGAUGUGACAGCAUAGGGAACCGAUGCCUCAGCCCCAAAUAAAGACCUGAGAAGGUAGGAAGACCUGAGAAGAUAGGGGUACAUGGUGUUCCUGAGCCAGGAGUUGGCAAACUCUUUUUUAAAGGUUCAAAUAGUAAAUAUUUUAGCCUUUGCAUGCCAUAUGGACUCCACCACGACUACUCAGCUCUGCCAUCAGCACAAAAGUAGCCACAGACAAUGCAUAAAAAUGAAUGUGGCUAUGUUCCAAUAAAACUUUAUUUACACAAAUAGGCAACAAUACAGAUUUGGCCUAUGGGCUGAAAUUUGGCACCUCUGGUCUAAGAUGACAGAGCUUCAGAUAGCCCGCAAGGGCUUCCUACAUCCUAGCCUGUUCCAGGAGACCCAGAAUCACACAUGUGCUGGAGAGCAGCAUGGCAGUUGGAGAGGAUCUUGAGCAGCUUCUCUGAGAUUCCAGAAUCCAGCAUGGGGAGAAGAGUGACUGAGGUAACCCCUGGCCACAAAGGAGCCUUGCCAAGGUGGAAAGAUGCUAGGUCUUUAUUUCCCACAGUGUUGCAGGACCAGGUAAGCUCCCAGGACAGUUACAACCCUCAGCAAAGGAGAGAAGGGGAAAGUGACUUCAAAUUUAUUAUGUUUUCUUACCCUGCCAGAAUGGAGACUCAAAAUAGAAAUCGAUUUACUUUUAAAAGCCAGAUUUAUGUCCUAUUCUUAUGUUUGCAGGAAUGAGCUAUUUUACUUUUUUGUUAAUUGGAAAUGUUUUCUUUGAAAUCUGCUGCACAUUUUACACUUAGAGUACGUCACUAGCCACAUUUCAAGUGCUCAAUAACCACAUGUGGCUAGAAGAUACUAUAUUGGACCGUGCAGCUUUAGACACCAAGAUCUUCCCUCCUUCCCCUCCUCAGAGCCAUCAGACAAGCCCACCAGGCCUGCCUUGACUGGCCUUCAAAUGAGUUAGAAAGAUGGUUGUUAUACAGAGAGCAUACAGACUCCCAGC